CAAUCCUGGGAUUUGAACCAAUGGCUGCAGCUCGUAGGAGGGCUGCCCAGGGCCAGCUUGUACGAUGCGUUUCGGUGCCAGAGUAUGAGUGGGGAUAAUUACUGAGAAGUCACACUCUCUCACAGCCUCAGCUUUCUCGUCGUGUCCUUCAGCAAAACACUGGAUUUACAUCUCCUUCCACGGGCUGGAGAGCAACGCAGUCUGUCAGGGAAGAGAGAAAGAAAAAACCGAACCUGACAAAAAAGAAGAAGCAAAAGAAGAAGCAAAAGAAAGGGGGAAAAAAAUCAUGAAAACCAUCCAGGCAAAAACGCACAAUUCUAUCUCUUGGGCAGUCUUCGCGGGGCUGGCUGCUCUGUGUCUCUUCCAAGAUGUUCGAGAAUCCUCCAUAUGUGAGACUGCUUUGUUGCUGAGUUGCUUAUUCCCACAAUCUCUUUCUUGUCUGUCUGCCUUGAGAGGACUGGGAGACACCUUUGUGGAGAGCAUCCUAAGGCACAGCCUCCCAGCACGUCUCCUAGUUGGGUAAUGGAAGAAUUCAUGUCAUGGUGUCUUCCCCAGCUGCUUUUUCCAAUUAAACUACUUACGUUAUCUCUUGUUGACUAGCUUAUCAAUAUUAAGGACUCUAACUCUUUUAGAGGAGCAAUGCAUUGUCUAAACUACUACAAUAUGUUAAAUAUCAAUUAAUUUCUCACCUG
RNAcentral lists this long non-coding RNA (692 nucleotides) under Dasypus novemcinctus (nine-banded armadillo). RNAcentral's name for it is "lncRNA (ENSDNOG00000050734.1)". Lineage: Eukaryota; Metazoa; Chordata; Mammalia; Cingulata; Dasypodidae. The record is from RNAcentral.